This 465-nucleotide ribosomal RNA is filed under the name Vreelandella stevensii. RNAcentral's name for it is "partial 16S ribosomal RNA". It matches the Rfam family "Bacterial small subunit ribosomal RNA", at positions 338 to 795 of the family's 1533-position model. Lineage: Bacteria; Pseudomonadati; Pseudomonadota; Gammaproteobacteria; Oceanospirillales; Halomonadaceae. The record is from RNAcentral.
CCUACGGGGCGCUGCAGUGGGGAAUAUUGGACAAUGGGCGAAAGCCUGAUCCAGCCAUGCCGCGUGUGUGAAGAAGGCCUUCGGGUUGUAAAGCACUUUCAGUGGGGAAGAAAGCCUUGGGGCUAAUACCCUCGAGGAAGGACAUCACCCACAGAAGAAGCACCGGCUAACUCCGUGCCAGCAGCCGCGGUAAUACGGAGGGUGCGAGCGUUAAUCGGAAUUACUGGGCGUAAAGCGCGCGUAGGCGGUCUGAUAAGCCGGUUGUGAAAGCCCCGAGCUCAACCUGGGAACGGCAUCCGGAACUGUCAGGCUAGAGUGCAGGAGAGGAAGGUAGAAUUCCCGGUGUAGCGGUGAAAUGCGUAGAGAUCGGGAGGAAUACCAGUGGCGAAGGCGGCCUUCUGGACUGACACUGACGCUGAGGUGCGAAAGCGUGGGUAGCAAACAGGAUUAGAUACCCCAGUAGUC